Molecule: ribosomal RNA, 560 nt
Filed under: uncultured Bacteroidota bacterium
Lineage: Bacteria; Pseudomonadati; Bacteroidota
Description: bacterial SSU rRNA
Rfam family: Bacterial small subunit ribosomal RNA
Source: RNAcentral
CCUACGGGAGGCAGCAGUGGGGAAUUUUCCGCAAUGGGCGCAAGCCUGACGGAGCAACGCCGCGUGAGGGAUGAAGGCCUCUGGGCUGUAAACCUCUUUUAUCAAGGAAGAAGAUCUGACGGUACUUGAUGAAUAAGCCACGGCUAAUUCCGUGCCAGCAGCCGCGGUAAUACGGAGGGUGCAAGCGUUAUCCGGAAUCAUUGGGUUUAAAGGGUCCGCAGGCGGGCAUAUAAGUCAGUGGUGAAAGCCUACAGCUCAACUGUAGAACUGCCAUUGAUACUGUAAGUCUUGAAUUCGGUCGAAGUGGGCGGAAUGUGUAGUGUAGCGGUGAAAUGCAUAGAUAUUACACAGAACACCGAUAGCGAMGGCAGCUCACUAGGCCUGGAUUGACGCUCAGGGACGAAAGCGUGGGGAUCAAACAGGAUUAGAUACCCUGGUASUCCACGCYGUMAACGAUGAUUACUCGUUCUCGGCGAUAUACAGUCGGAGACUAAGCGAAAGUGAUAAGUAAUCCACCUGGGGAGUACGAUCGCAAGGUUGAAACUCAAAUGAAUUGACGG